This 394-nucleotide ribosomal RNA is filed under the name uncultured bacterium. Its description in RNAcentral is "partial 16S ribosomal RNA". It matches the Rfam family "Bacterial small subunit ribosomal RNA", at positions 523 to 918 of the family's 1533-position model. The record is from RNAcentral.
AUACGUAGGGGGCGAGCGUUAUCCGGAAUUAUUGGGCGUAAAGAGUACGUAGGCGGUUGUGUAAGCGGGAGGUGAAAGCCCGGGGCUUAACUCCGGUAAGCCUUUCGAACUGCAGGACUUGCGUGCUGGAGGGGAAAGUGGAAUUCCUAGUGUAGCGGUGAAAUGCGUAGAUAUUAGGAGGAACACCAGUGGCGAAGGCGACUUUCUGGACAGUAACUGACGCUGAGGUACGAAAGCGUGGGGAGCAAACAGGAUUAGAUACCCUGGUAGUCCACGCUGUAAACGAUGAGCACUAGGUGUCGGGCUAGCAAUAGUUCGGUGCCGCAGUUAACGCAAUAAGUGCUCCGCCUGGGGAGUACGCACGCAAGUGUGAAACUCAAAGGAAUUGACAGGG